Molecule: ribosomal RNA, 406 nt
Filed under: uncultured bacterium
Lineage: Bacteria
Description: partial 16S ribosomal RNA
Rfam family: Bacterial small subunit ribosomal RNA
Source: RNAcentral
AUUGAACGCUGGCGGCAGGCUUAACACAUGCAAGUCGAGCGAGCGGCGGACGGGUGAGUAAUGCCUAGGAAUCUGCCUGGUCGUGGGGGAUAACGUCCGGAACCGGGCGCUAAUACUGCAUACUAUCAGCAGUGCCCAGAUGGGAUUAGCUUGUUGGUGGGGUAACGGCUCAACCAGGCGACGAUCCCUAGCUGGUCUGAGAGGAUGACCAGCCACACGGGAACUGAGACACGGUCCAGACUCCUACGGGAGGCAGCAGUGGGGAAUAUUGCACAAUGGGCGCAAGCCUGAUGCAGCCAUGCCGCGAGUAUGAAGAAGGCCUUCGGGUUGUAAAGUACUUUCAGCGGGGAGGCGUUACCCGCAGAAGAAGCACCGGCUAACUCCGUGCCAGCAGCCGCGGUAAUUC